This 253-nucleotide ribosomal RNA is filed under the name uncultured bacterium. RNAcentral's name for it is "partial 16S ribosomal RNA". It matches the Rfam family "Bacterial small subunit ribosomal RNA", at positions 524 to 776 of the family's 1533-position model. The record is from RNAcentral.
UACGAAGGGGGCUAGCGUUGUUCGGAAUUACUGGGCGUAAAGCGCGCGCAGGCGGUCUUCCAAGUCAGUGGUGAAAGCCCGGAGCUCAACUCCGGAACUGCCAUUGAAACUGUGAGACUUGAGGAUGAGAGAGGUGAGUGGAAUUCCCAGUGUAGAGGUGAAAUUCGUAGAUAUUGGGAAGAACACCGGUGGCGAAGGCGGCUCACUGGCUCAUUUCUGACGCUCAGGCGCGAAAGCGUGGGGAUCAAACAGG